UUUAAGAUAAGUUGAUUAAAACUUAGUUAACACAUCUUAUUGAUAAUUAUCUUAAGCAAAUAGAAUCUAAACUAAAUUGAUUUGACCUUGAUAAAUCUGUUUAUUGCCUCACAUGCUUGUCCUUGAACUAUCUUGGUUAAUGAAUCUAUCUCUUUAGUUCAAGUGAUAUGUGCUUGCUUAUAUUUAGGUAAAUCUCUUGAGUAAAGUAACUCAACAUGCAAC
This 222-nucleotide long non-coding RNA is filed under the name Phoenix dactylifera (date palm). Its description in RNAcentral is "long non-coding RNA (PDAC_LNC020756)". Lineage: Eukaryota; Viridiplantae; Streptophyta; Magnoliopsida; Arecales; Arecaceae. The record is from RNAcentral.